GACGAACCGUACGAACGUUAUUCGGAAUUACUGGGCUUAAAGGGUGCGUAGGCGGCGCAGUAAGUUGGGUGUGAAAUCCCUCGGCUUAACCGAGGAAUUGCGCCCAAAACUACUGUGCUCGAGGGAGGUAGAGGUGAGCGGAACUUAGGGUGGAGCGGUGAAAUGCGUUGAUAUCCUAAGGAACACCGGUGGCGAAAGCGGCUCACUGGACCGCUUCUGACGCUGAGGCACGAAAGCGUGGGGAGCAAACAGG
This 253-nucleotide ribosomal RNA is filed under the name uncultured bacterium. RNAcentral's name for it is "partial 16S ribosomal RNA". It matches the Rfam family "Bacterial small subunit ribosomal RNA", at positions 524 to 776 of the family's 1533-position model. The record is from RNAcentral.